CCUACGGGUGGCAGCAGUGGGGGAUCUUGCACAAUGGGGGAAACCCUGAUGCAGCGACGCCGCGUGGGUGAAGAAGUAUUUCGGUAUGUACAGCCCUAUCAGCAGGGAAGAAAGAAGACGGUACCUGACUAAGAAGAUCCGGCUAACUACGGGUCAGCAGCCGCGGUAAUACGUCGGGGGCGAGCGUUAGCCGGAUUCACUGGGCGUAAAGGGAGCGUAGACGGCCGUGCAAGCCAGGAGUGAAAGCCCGGGGCACAACCCCGGAACUGCUCUUGGCACCGUGCGGCUAGAGUGCCGAAGGGGAGGGCGGAAUUCCAGGUGUAGCGGGGAAAUGCGUAGAUAUCAGGAGGAACACCGGCGGCGAAGGCGGCCUGCUGGACCGCGACUGACGUUGAGGUUCGAAAGCGUGGGGAGCGAACAGGAUUAGAUACCCCGGUAGUC
Molecule: ribosomal RNA, 441 nt
Filed under: uncultured bacterium
Lineage: Bacteria
Description: partial 16S ribosomal RNA
Rfam family: Bacterial small subunit ribosomal RNA
Source: RNAcentral